UUGCACCAGCCGCUAGCACCAGCUGCUAG
Molecule: small RNA, 29 nt
Filed under: Bombyx mori (domestic silkworm)
Lineage: Eukaryota; Metazoa; Arthropoda; Insecta; Lepidoptera; Bombycidae
Description: ovarian small RNA-37790
Source: RNAcentral